AGACUUCAGGGAGUGGCUGGAAAGCCAGAGGUAGGUCAUGAAACCCAAACCCAGGGAAACUGAGCACCUCCUGUGUCAACAUCAUGGAAUGGUGACUGUGGAUGUAAAAGAGAAGUCUCAGGACAGAAGCCAGGUGAAAGAAGGUUUGCCACCCUCUGAACAGCUGGAGAGAUCUUUGACCCUGCAGGGCUCCCUGCUGCCCUUGGGAUAAAGUCUAGAAUAUGUAGGGCGCCGAGCAUACCAAGGCCUACAUCAGACUUCACUGCUUCACGACUCCCUUCAUGCUACACUCCAGCCUAACAGAUUUCUUUUUUUCCAAUUAACGUGUGUCCCUACCUGACAUUAGAUCAUCUCACCUGUUAAUUGCCUGUUUCCCUGGCAACUGUGAGAGCAGGGACAUCAUCUGUCUUGUGUGCUGCUGUAUCGCCAUCAUUUCACACAGCAUCUGCCCCAUAGCAGGCCUCAGUAAAGAUUUGGUGAAUAAAUGAAUGGGCUGUCUGGAUCAGUAUGACUUGGGGCAAGUCAUGGGGGCUCCAUCUCCCAGUGGACACCUCAGGGUGUCCAUCUCAGGCUAGCCUUGCAGCCUGAGUCUCAGGGCUGGAAGGAGCUGAAGAACAGAGACCUAAAGGAUAAGCAGCCAGCCAUAUGACUCUGGGGAGAGCGUGCACCAGGAAGCAGGAGCAGCAAUUGCAAAAGGUCCUGCAGCAGGAUGACAAUAGGAGAUAUUGGGAGACGAGGCUGGAGAGUUAGCAGGACCUUGAGUCAGGUGAUUUCAUCCCACCACCUCCACAGUCACAGAUGGGGGAGAUAACAAAUGUUUCUGCAGUGUCUCCUAUGUGCCAGUUGUCCCACCUCUAGCUGUGCUCACCGUGAACCUUGCAACAGCCUGUGAAGCUGUAUUCUUUCCAGUUCACAAAGGAAAAUGGACCUCUGUCGGCUCAGUAAUUUAUCCAUAGUCACGCAGCUGUGCAAGUCUAAGCAUCAAAGACUCUUUCCACCACACAUCACUGCCCUUGGCCAUCACCUCACCUUAGGUGUGUGAUUCCACUUCUUCCCUCCUUUCUGGCUUUGCUCUAAUUUGAUGACCAAAAUUAUAUAUCAUUCUCUAGGCCAAAAAACAACUUUGAUGCCUACUUGACAUAUCUACUUGGGAUAUCCAACAUGCAGCUCACAUGUAAUAUGCCUCAAACAGAAACCUGGGAAUCAGAUUUCUCUUUCCCUCACCCCCACAUCCCAUCCACCAACAAAUCUUGGUCACCCCACC
Long non-coding RNA from Galeopterus variegatus (Sunda flying lemur), 1264 nucleotides. RefSeq lists it as uncharacterized. Lineage: Eukaryota; Metazoa; Chordata; Mammalia; Dermoptera; Cynocephalidae. The record is from RefSeq and is a predicted model, not a curated record. The transcript is spliced from 3 exons.